Molecule: ribozyme, 61 nt
Filed under: Aedes aegypti (yellow fever mosquito)
Lineage: Eukaryota; Metazoa; Arthropoda; Insecta; Diptera; Culicidae
Description: drz-agam-1 ribozyme
Rfam family: drz-agam-1 ribozyme
Source: Rfam by way of RNAcentral
UGCUUAGCAACUCCUAAGCCUACCUCCUCGCGGUACUGGCCGGGGUACGACUAGCCUUAGG